Long non-coding RNA from Lolium rigidum, 420 nucleotides. RefSeq lists it as uncharacterized. NCBI's taxonomy places the organism in Eukaryota, Viridiplantae, Streptophyta, Magnoliopsida, Poales, Poaceae. The record is from RefSeq and is a predicted model, not a curated record. The transcript has 3 exons.
CAUCAACUAUGCAAGGACUGUGCUCGUACAUGGAAGAUGCUCAUACAACUAUCCUAGAUCUAGAUCAUACCGGGUCCACAUCAUUCUUUGGUGUUUAUGAUGGCCAUGGAGAUAUAACGUGGAUUGUGCAAAAGUAAUACCUGCGAUGGACCAAACGUUUCAUGUGUUGGAGUUGUGAUUAUUGUACUCUGAAGUGUUGUGAUUUGUGAGGAAUAAUCAAAACUUUAUUCUGAUCUGUUAAUGACAGAGGUGGGGUGUAUAUUAUCACUGUGUUGAGUGUAUCACUUCUCUCCAGUGAUACCUAUUGAAUGGAUGUUCAGCUGCAGUGUUCAUCACAUUUUUUCGAAUAUAAGCUUCUAUGCACAUUCUAUUGAUUCCACGUUCCUCUGUUAUAUGUGUAUACUUAUAUGACAAUGCCAG